UUAUACAAAUCAUUAGGCACAAAAUUACAGCAGGUUGCUGAUAAAUACGUAAGAUUCUUAAUUCGUGGAAAAUUGGGACGUACAGUGCCUGUGAUUUUAGACAUGGAAUUAGUACAAUGUGUUGAACUAAUUUUGAACCAGCGAAAGGAUGCAAAUGUUCCUGAAAAAAAUCCGUAUGUGUUUGGCAUACCUAGUAGUACCAAACGCCAUUUCAAAUAUUUAAGAGCGUGUAUCCUUAUGCGAUAUUUUUCUAAAAAAUGUGAUGCACAAAUACCACAUUCUUUAAGAGGUACU
Nylanderia fulva is the source of this 294-nucleotide non-coding RNA. The record is from RefSeq and is a predicted model, not a curated record. Lineage: Eukaryota; Metazoa; Arthropoda; Insecta; Hymenoptera; Formicidae.